RNAcentral lists this ribosomal RNA (499 nucleotides) under uncultured bacterium. RNAcentral describes it as "partial 16S ribosomal RNA". It matches the Rfam family "Bacterial small subunit ribosomal RNA", at positions 30 to 523 of the family's 1533-position model. The record is from RNAcentral.
AUUGAACGCUGGCGGAAUGCUUUACACAUGCAAGUCGAACGGCAGCACGGACUUCGGUCUGGUGGCGAGUGGCGAACGGGUGAGUAAUGUAUCGGAACGUGCCCAGUCGUGGGGGAUAACGUAGUGAAAAUUACGCUAAUACCGCAUACGUUCUAUGGAUGAAAGCGGGGAUCGCAAGACCUCGCGCGAUUGGAGCGGCCGAUAUCGGAUUAGGUAGUUGGUGGGGUAAAGGCCCACCAAGCCAACGAUCUGUAGCUGGUCUGAGAGGACGACCAGCCACACUGGAACUGAGACACGGUCCAGACUCCUACGGGAGGCAGCAGUGGGGAAUUUUGGACAAUGGGCGAAAGCCUGAUCCAGCCAUUCCGCGUGCAGGAUGAAGGCCCUCGGGUUGUAAACUGCUUUUGUACAGAACGAAAAGGUUUCUACUAAUACUAGGAGCUCAUGACGGUACUGUAAGAAUAAGCACCGGCUAACUACGUGCCAGCAGCCGCCGUAA